GUAGUCUCGCACAGAUGCAUAUCAAUAAGCGGAGGAAAAGAAACUAACAAGGAUUCCCCUAGUAACGGCGAGUGAAGCGGGAAGAGCUCAAAUUUGAAAUCUUAAAGGGUUUCCCUUUACGAAUUGUAGUUUAAAGAAGUGUUUUCUGUUGAGGUUUUGGUAAAAGUUCUUUGGAAUAGGACAUCAUAGAGGGUGAGAAUCCCGUAUUUGACCUUUACUUUCAACUUUGUGAUACACUUUCAAAGAGUCGGAUUGUUUGGGAAUGCAGUCCAAAAUGGGUGGUAAAUUUCAUCUAAAGCUAAAUAUUGGCGAGAGACCGAUAGCGAACAAGUACCGUGAGGGAAAGAUGAAAAGAACUUUGAGAAGAGAGUUAAACAGUACGUGAAAUUGUCAAAAGGGAAGCGUUUGACACCAGUGUUGUUUUUCUGAAAAUCAAUUAAAGAACUGUUUAUGCUAAGCUGUUUAGACUUUAUCAGCUAACUGUUUAGUUUUGAGCUUUUCUUUAAUGCACUUUUCAGUUAACAAGUCAACAUCAAUUUCUUUUGCUGUGAAAAAGCUUGAGGAAGGUGGCUUGAGAUUCGUCUUAAGUGUUUAUAGCCUCUUGCCUAUGCAGUCGGAGAGAUUGAGGUCUGCAGCGUAGAUCCUUCGGGGCUAAAUGCAUUUGUGCUAAGUUAUAGCAUUUUAUAGACAACUUGUUGACUAUGAUUUGUCUUGUAGCUUACUCGCUUAUGUUAUUUUACCUACGCUUAGGAUGUUGAAGACUCUACAGAGAUA
RNAcentral lists this ribosomal RNA (774 nucleotides) under uncultured Neocallimastigales. RNAcentral describes it as "partial large subunit ribosomal RNA". It matches the Rfam family "Eukaryotic large subunit ribosomal RNA", at positions 24 to 633 of the family's 3401-position model. Lineage: Eukaryota; Fungi; Neocallimastigomycota; Neocallimastigomycetes; Neocallimastigales. The record is from RNAcentral.